RNAcentral lists this ribosomal RNA (545 nucleotides) under uncultured Glomeromycotina. RNAcentral's name for it is "SSU rRNA". It matches the Rfam family "Eukaryotic small subunit ribosomal RNA", at positions 548 to 1098 of the family's 1831-position model. The record is from RNAcentral. Lineage: Eukaryota; Fungi; Glomeromycota.
UUGGAGGGCAAGUCUGGUGCCAGCAGCCGCGGUAAUUCCAGCUCCAAUAGCGUAUAUUAAAGUUGUUGCAGUUAAAAAGCUCGUAGUUGAAUUUCGGGGUUCUACCGUUGGUCGGGCUUUGUCUGUACUGGUGUGUAGAAUUUCUACCUUCUGGGGAACCAUCAUGCUAUUAAUUUAGCGUGGUGGGAAACCAGGACCUUUACCUUGAAAAAAUUAGUGUGUUCAAAGCAGGCUUAUGUCUGAAUACAUUAGCGUGGAAUAAUAGAAUAGGACGGUGGUCCUGUUUUGUUGGUUUCUGAAUCACCGUAAUGAUUAAUAGGGAUAGUUGGGGGCAUUAGUAUUCAAUUGUCAGAGGUGGAAUUCUUGGAUUUAUUGAAGACUAACUUCCGCGAAAGCAUUUGCCAAGGAUGUUUUCAUUAAUCAAGAACGAAAGUUAGGGGAUCGAAGACGAUCAGAUACCGUCGUAGUCUUAACCAUAAACUAUGCCGACUAGGGAUCGGAUGAUGUUAAUUUUUUAAUGACUCAUUCGGCGCCUUACGGGAAAC